This 253-nucleotide ribosomal RNA is filed under the name uncultured bacterium. RNAcentral's name for it is "partial 16S ribosomal RNA". It matches the Rfam family "Bacterial small subunit ribosomal RNA", at positions 524 to 776 of the family's 1533-position model. The record is from RNAcentral.
UACGGAGGGUGCGAGCGUUGUCCGGAAUCACUGGGCGUAAAGGGCGCGUAGGUGGCCGAGCAAGGUCGCGGUGAAAGCCCGGGGCUCAACCCCGGGAGGCGGAUGGAUACUGCAAGGCUCGAGUACGGAAGAGGCGAGUGGAAUUCCCGGUGUAGCGGUGAAAUGCGCAGAUAUCGGGAGGAACACCUAUGGCGAAGGCAGCUCGCUGGGACGUUACUGACGCUGAGACGCGAAAGCGUGGGGAGCAAACAGG